This 495-nucleotide ribosomal RNA is filed under the name uncultured bacterium. Its description in RNAcentral is "partial 16S ribosomal RNA". It matches the Rfam family "Bacterial small subunit ribosomal RNA", at positions 28 to 507 of the family's 1533-position model. The record is from RNAcentral.
GACGAACGCUGGCGGCGUGCCUAAUACAUGCAAGUCGAACGCUGAAGGAGGAGCUUGCUCCUCUGGAUGAGUUGCGAACGGGUGAGUAACGCUUAGGUAACCUGCCGGGUAGCGGGGGAUAACUAUUGGAAACGAUAGCUAAUACCGCAUAAGAGUUCAUGCUGCAUUACAUUUCUUUGAAAGUUGCAGUUGCUUCACUUCCAGAAGGAUCUGCGUUGUAUUGGCUAGUUGGGGGGGUAACGGCUCACCAAGGCGACGAUACGUAGCCGAACUGAGAGGGUGAUCGGCCAGGAUGGGACUGGGAAACGGCCCAGACUCCUGGGGGAGGCAGCGGUAGGGACUCGUCGGGAAUGGACGGAAGUCUGACCGGACAACGCCGAAUGAGUGCAGAAGGUUUUCGGAUCCUAAAGGUCUGUUGUAGGAGAAGAACGAGUGUGAGAGUGGAAAGUUCACUCUGUGACGGUAUCUUACCAGAAAGAGACGGCUAACUACGUG